This 800-nucleotide ribosomal RNA is filed under the name uncultured bacterium. RNAcentral's name for it is "bacterial SSU rRNA". It matches the Rfam family "Bacterial small subunit ribosomal RNA", at positions 8 to 811 of the family's 1533-position model. The record is from RNAcentral.
AGAGUUUGAUCCUGGCUCAGGAUGAACGCUGGCGGCGUGCUUAACACAUGCAAGUCGAACGAGGAAUUUUAAAUGAGACUUCGGUGGAUUUUAAAAUUCUUAGUGGCGGACGGGUGAGUAGCGCGUGGGCAACCUGCCCUGUACAGGGGGACAACAGCUGGAAACGGCUGCUAAUACCGCAUAAGCGCACAGUACCGCAUGGUACGGUGUGAAAAACUCCGGUGGUACAGGAUGGGCCCGCGUUGGAUUAGGUAGUUGGUGGGGUAACGGCCUACCAAGCCGACGAUCCAUAGCCGACCUGAGAGGGUGACCGGCCACAUUGGGACUGAGACACGGCCCAAACUCCUACGGGAGGCAGCAGUGGGGAAUAUUGCACAAUGGGGGAAACCCUGAUGCAGCGACGCCGCGUGAAGGAAGAAGUAUCUCGGUAUGUAAACUUCUAUCAGCAGGGAAGAUAGUGACGGUACCUGACUAAGAAGCCCCGGCUAACUACGUGCCAGCAGCCGCGGUAAUACGUAGGGGGCAAGCGUUAUCCGGAUUUACUGGGUGUAAAGGGAGCGUAGACGGAUUAGCAAGUCUGAUGUGAAAGGCAGGGGCUCAACCCCUGGACUGCAUUGGAAACUGCCAGUCUUGAGUGCCGGAGAGGUAAGCGGAAUUCCUAGUGUAGCGGUGAAAUGCGUAGAUAUUAGGAGGAACACCAGUGGCGAAGGCGGCUUACUGGACGGUAACUGACGUUGAGGCUCGAAAGCGUGGGGAGCAAACAGGAUUAGAUACCCUGGUAGUCCACGCGGUAAACGAUG